AAGAGAGAGACAUGCGCGCAUAUCAAUAAGCGGAGGAAAAGAAACUAACUAGGAUUCCCUCAGUAACGGCGAGUGAAGCGGGAAGAGCUCAAAUUUGAAAUCUUCAAGGUUCUACCUUGACGAAUUGUAGUUUAAAGAAGUGUUUUCUGUUGGAGUUUUGGUAAAAGUUCUUUGGAAUAGGACAUCAUAGAGGGUGAGAAUCCCGUAUUUGACCAUUAUUUUCAGCUGUGUGAUAGCACUUUCAAAGAGUCGGAUUGUUUGGGAAUGCAGUCCAAAAUGGGUGGUAAAUUUCAUCUAAAGCUAAAUACUGGCGAGAGACCGAUAGCGAACAAGUACCGUGAGGGAAAGAUGAAAAGAACUUUGAAAAGAGAGUUAAACAGUACGUGAAAUUGUCAAAAGGGAAGCGUUUGACACCAGUGUUGUUUUCUCGAAAAUCAAUUAAAAAGAGUCAGAUUUUGUGUUGUAUUGACCUUAAUCAGCUUCUGCACUUCAAUUUUCUUGUCUUUUUUAAUGCACUUUUCGUUUAACAAGUCAACAUCAGUUUCUUUUGUUGUAAAAGGGUCAUUGGAAGGUGGCUUUCUUUUCGGAGAAAGUGUUUAUAGCCUUUGCCUCUGCAAUCGGAGAGAUUGAGGUCUGCAGCGUAGAUCCUUCGGGGUUAGAUACAUUUGUGCUAAGUUAUAGCCUUUCAUAGACAACUUGUUGACUAUGAUCAGUCAUGUAGCUUACUCGCUUAUGCUAUUUUACCUACGCUUAGGAUGUUGAUGUGAUACUGCGAGCA
This 778-nucleotide ribosomal RNA is filed under the name uncultured Neocallimastigales. RNAcentral's name for it is "partial large subunit ribosomal RNA". It matches the Rfam family "Eukaryotic large subunit ribosomal RNA", at positions 23 to 646 of the family's 3401-position model. The record is from RNAcentral. Lineage: Eukaryota; Fungi; Neocallimastigomycota; Neocallimastigomycetes; Neocallimastigales.